This is a long non-coding RNA of Hipposideros armiger (great roundleaf bat), 612 nucleotides long. RefSeq lists it as uncharacterized. The record is from RefSeq and is a predicted model, not a curated record. Lineage: Eukaryota; Metazoa; Chordata; Mammalia; Chiroptera; Hipposideridae. The transcript is spliced from 4 exons.
CAGAGGACAGCCCCACACAGGGGAAACAGCAACUAUCUUCAAGCCCUUCACCAAAGCUACAGACAUCAAUCUGCUCCCCUAAUGCCUCUGACGCCCCUGAGUCACUGUCCCUCCACUAGCACCCAAGGACAAAGUAUUUCCUGAAUUAACACCUGAAAAUUUCAUCUGAGAAUUCAAUCACAUAGCUUUCACAUUUAAAGGACCCUUUGAUUGCAAUGGGCUCAUCCAGACGGUCCAGAAAAAUCUCCUUAUUCUAAGGUAACAGACCUGUAUCACAGACUAAAGACUUUUCUUUUCAAUUCCUAUCUCUGCCCUUUUUAUUCUUCAUAAGUGUUUUCCCAAUAAAUCUCUUGUAUGUCUAAAUACAUAUGAAGGUCUGCUUGUCAGAAGACCCAAACUGAACAAAAUUCUCCACAAUUCAAUUUUGAUGAAGUUCAAGGCCAAGAAAAACUACAUUGUGUAAUAGAAGUAAAAUUUUUCCUUCAAAAUGGGAAGGCAGAAUGGACUCUACUGGAAACUAAAUAGGGUGGUGAACAGAUUUUCUAUAAUGAUUGCGUGGGGGCCAGAAAGUAUUUUACAUUUAUUAAAACUCAAGUAACUUUAUGUUUUACA